Molecule: long non-coding RNA, 3172 nt
Filed under: Nicotiana tabacum (common tobacco)
Lineage: Eukaryota; Viridiplantae; Streptophyta; Magnoliopsida; Solanales; Solanaceae
Description: long non-coding RNA (NTAB_LNC007771)
Source: RNAcentral
UAUAAUUUAUAUUCUAUAUUGUAUUAACUCUCCUCAUAUGUCCCCAAAUAUCAAUACCCACCAUACCUCCUAAACUCCAUUGAUAGCCCCAAAGCCUUAUUGUCUUCUUUGCCACACCGUAAGAGAAAGUACCCAAAUCUAAAAAUUGGGUUUGAGUUAAUGUUUUAGAUCUGAAAAUUUCCCUCUUAUAAGAGAAAAACUUUAUGGAAGAAACAUUGGAUGGUUUUAUAGUGCUUGAAAUCCAGUUGCUGCUUUGAUUCCCAAAUCGCACCUCGACUUCUCGACUGCUUGAAGGGAAAGCUGAACCCAAAUCCACCUCGACUGCUUGAAGCCAAAAAUUGGGAAAAGAUGAAAGGCAAAGUUUGCAACUGGAAUAACAAUGCAAAUAGGUACUCCUUGAACAACCACUUUCGGGACUUUCAUGUGUUUCAUAUUUCUUGAGUUUUCUUUACAAAUUCUUGAUUUUACCUUCUAAUGGGGCUUAAUUUUCAUAGUGAUUAGUAGCUCUCAAUAGUUGAAGAUUUGGUUGUAUUUGGGGGUUCAAUAUUUGGGUAAAUAGGGUUGUAUACUGCUACUACCUCUCUCAUGGUUUUUUCCGAUUGUUUUUUCAAUUUCUCAACAGCAAAUUUGUCGAACUGUAGAAUUCUUCGUUUACUGGUAGUGUAGGAAGAAAUCACUAUUGGUAGCUGAGGAGAAAUUGUUGUUGGUUGCUAAGGAAAAAAUUAUUAUUGGUAAGUAAUUUUUAAUUUAAAUUUUGGAUAAUUGAAUUUGUUGGUAGUGUACUUGUAUACUUCUUAUUUAAGAUUUUUUAUAAUUUUAAUUUUCUCUGUAUUUUCUUCCUUCCCCAUUCUCAAGACUACUCCUCGGAUUGGGAUUCUAUUUUGGGGUUUUCUUAAUUGUUGGUUGAGUGCUCUCCAACUUCUACUUAUGCUGUAGGAUGGUUUGAAUUAUAGGGGGUUUAAGGAUCCGAGUUUGUUUUAUUAAGAGGGUUUAUAAUUUAUAAGAGGGUUUAUAAUUUAUACUUUUAUUUUGGGCUAAAACUAGGAUGGGCUCUAACAUCCUCCAUUUUUGGUGUAGUUGUACAUUGCGGCAAAAGUUGCAUGAGAUGAGAAGUUGCUUGAGUUGAAAUAAUUUGAAUGAUAUUAUUUUGGAGAACAAAGAUUCAGUAGUGUCCUGGCAUGAUAUUACUUUGGAAAACUUCUCAAUAUUAAUAUCAUUCAUAUUAAUUUGAAAAACAUGUUAUAUGUCUGUUCAUCUUAUCCGAGAAACUGAAAAUAAGAGUUGUUGUAUUUGUGUAAUUUCUUUGAACAAAAGCCAUCUAUUAGCCUCCAUCUUCUUUGUGCAUGAAUUUGUCUGCGAUUAGUAUAACAAUUAUUAUCUAAAAAUUAUAGUCGUCAUAUUUAGGAUGCUAUUAGUAAGAUAUAGAAAACAUGCUUUAGAUGUUUUUUACUGUUCUUAUUUGAAAAUAUUUGUGUUCAGAAGUUUUGCUCAUAAAUAUUUUUAACUCUUUCAAGCCCAUGAUUGUAUGAAGAGGUACUGAUUUUUCUGGGUGAAAGUACUAAUAUUUUAAAAGCUUGUAUGUUUGAUAUAGUUAUUAGAAUCUCAUUUAAAAACUAAAUUCAAGUGGAAAUAAAAAAUCUUGCAGUAGACUGAAAAAUCUUUUGAAAACCAUAUAGUUUUAAAAGCUUGCAGUAGACUGAAAAAUCUUUUGAACUAGGAUGGAAAUAAAAAUUAUCCAUCUCUCAUCUAUGUGGAAAUGAUAUUGUUUUAAAGGUUUAAAUAGUUAUUUAGUCAGACAUACAAAUUGCAGCAUUCAAGUUAGUGUCUUUGUUUUAGCAGUUUCAGAAUAUAAUCCAUUUUCCUCGUCCUUUUAAUUUUUUUAUUUUUUAAUAAAAACAAACAUGGGUGGCUUGUGAAACUUGAAGUAGAAUUUAACAAGGAUUUGAGCAGUAGCUCAGUGGUGGCAAGGUUGCAACUCCAUUCUCCAAUACUUUAAGUGCAUGGUUCAAAGAGCAAUUUUAACAUGAGGAUCAUCUUGAACACUAAGUAGUUCCUUUUCUAAGUGAUUGCUCAUAACUAAUCGCAUAGAACGAUACUGAAAGUGAUUCUCUUGUCAAAACGUUUUAAGUGCACAACAUAUUUGGCAGCUAAAGUAUGAUACUAUCUUUAUACAUCAAAUGCACUUAAGUUACAUAACUUAAAAUUAUUUCUUGAUUUGAGCAAUUGCAUCGAUGAUGGAAUAAAUUUUGCAAUGGAUAAGCUUACAGUAAACUUAAGUGCAAAAUUUUAAGCUUGAUUUGAAUCUGUUGGGACAACUUUGCUGGUGAGAACUUGCUUAUCGAAUUAUUCUAUGCAUAAAGUAUGUAAGAUAAUGGAAAUAUAAAUGCUUAGUUCAUUGAUUAUUUAUAGUGUAUGCAAAGUAAUCAUGGCUUUUGAUACAACUCUAAGUUGCACGUACUGUUUCUAAGUUUAACCUGAACUCUAUGUCAUAUCAAUAACUGGAGUAACCUGAGACUCACUUGUACUUCUGAAUCUUGCAUGUCUAAUAGGCUUGGCGAAAAAGUUUGGAAUCUGAAAUAUCUGUCAUCAAAACACACACUUUUUGAUUUGGCAGCUUUCAGGAAUUUCUAUCAGGUUGGUUGCAUCUUAAUUCUAUAUCAGGAAUUAAAUAAUUCCAACUCCGACAACUAAAUAGAUGUCAACUCCAAAUGUUCAAGCAUGAUGUAGAAGUCAAAUAAUGCGUCAUUGAUAUGAUAUGUGCCUUAACUUUUCUAUUCUUUCAACAAGUAAUGAUAGUCUAACUAAUUGAUUGAUUCUAUCAGGUUUGCAUAUAAAGCUGUGAUGUCUAACUAAUUGAUUCUAUUCUUUCACAAAGUAAUGAUAGUCUCUCUAACUUUGUUCAGAGAAAAUAAUUGAUUAUAUUCUUUCUUUAGUAAAUUAAAACUAUUUUUUUAUGUGAAAGGUUGACUGAUUACAGAAAAGAUCAAGGUAAUAUAGACUUGUGAGGUGUAUACAAUGCAAUAUUGUUAAUGAUUUGAUAACUUACUUCUUAUUUAAUUUUUGAUUUUGAUAGAAAUUUGAAUAGUCAUGAGUCAGGAAGGGCACUCAAGUAAAAAUAAAAAGGCUAAAAAUUGCGUUGCAGACGGAUCACUUGCAUCUUUGUUGAACCAAA